AACGGACUCAUCCCACCCGUGUUGCAGCGGGGGCGCACUAAAAUGGAUGUGGAGUUUGCAUAAAGAUUUGGAAUGCCCCAACUGACCGCAAAGGAAGCAAAAUAAAGGCUGGUGUUCAUACUUGAAGAUUGCAAAUGUUGAUUCUCCAUUUCUCAGAUUGCACCUCUUUUUUCUGAACAGAGGAUUUCAGACAUCAAUGGCCGCCCAAACCCAUAGACAACCCCUCAUCCAAGCCAUAGAAGAUGAACAUGUGUCAUAGUCCACAAAGCCCCCCAACUGGUUCCCAAACUGCCUAGCCAUUGUCUCCGAUACCCAACCUAGAAGGAAUGAGUGAAUCUGUACCCAAAAGAGCCUCGUGUCAAUGGCUACUUUCAUUGGAUGUUCUCCCUCCCUAAGGUGGUGCACAACUAAGAAGUGGUUGUAAAAAGUCCAUGGCCCUUUGUUGAGCACUCUUUGGAUAUCCACUUUGUAAAAAAAUCUGUACAAGUAAUGGCCAAAACUGAGAUCUACAAUAUUUACUCUCCUUAUCAGCCUCCACAGGUCUGCUAGUGUAUUCC
This 557-nucleotide long non-coding RNA is filed under the name Carica papaya (papaya). Its description in RNAcentral is "long non-coding RNA (CPAP_LNC013475)". The record is from RNAcentral. Lineage: Eukaryota; Viridiplantae; Streptophyta; Magnoliopsida; Brassicales; Caricaceae.